ACCCGAGGCUCAACCUCGGGCCUGCAGUGGGUACGGGCAGACUAGAGUGCGGUAGGGGAGAUUGGAAUUCCUGGUGUAGCGGUGGAAUGCGCAGAUAUCAGGAGGAACACCAAUGGCGAAGGCAGAUCUCUGGGCCGUAACUGACGCUGAGGAGCGAAAGCAUGGGGAGCGAACAGGAUUAGAUACCCUGGUAGUCCAUGCCGUAAACGUUGGGAGCUAGAUGUGGGGACCAUUCCACGGUCUCCGUGUCGCAGCUAACGCAUUAAGUUCCCCGCCUGGGGAGUACGGCCGCAAGGCUAAAACUCAAAGGAAUUGACGGGGGCCCGCACAAGCGGCGGAGCAUGCGGAUUAAUUCGAUGCAACGCGAAGAACCUUACCAAGGCUUGACAUAUACCGGAAACGGCUGGAAACAGUCGCCCCCAAGGUCGGUAUACAGGUGGUGCAUGGUUGUCGUCAGCUCGUGUCGUGAGAUGUUGGGUUAAGUCCCGCAACGAGCGCAACCCUCGUCCUAUGUUGCCAGCACGUAAUGGUGGGAACUCAUGGGAUACUGCCGGGGUCAACUCGGAGGAAGGUGGGGAUGACGUCAAAUCAUCAUGCCCCUUAUGUCUUGGGCUUCACGCAUGCUACAAUGGCCGGUACAAAGGGCUGCAAUACCGCAAGGUGGAGCGAAUCCCAAAAAGCCGGUCCCAGUUCGGAUUGAGGUCUGCAACUCGACCUCAUGAAGUCGGAGUCGCUAGUAAUCGCAGAUCAGCAACGCUG
This 759-nucleotide ribosomal RNA is filed under the name uncultured Cryobacterium sp. Its description in RNAcentral is "bacterial SSU rRNA". It matches the Rfam family "Bacterial small subunit ribosomal RNA", at positions 600 to 1359 of the family's 1533-position model. Lineage: Bacteria; Bacillati; Actinomycetota; Actinomycetes; Micrococcales; Microbacteriaceae. The record is from RNAcentral.